GUUUGCCAGUAAUGAUCCUGACUGUCCUGAAACCUGAAAUCCUGGAAAGAGAAACCUUUGUCUGGAAUCUGCCUGCCUGCACUUAGUCUCAGUCUCUGCCUCAGCCCUCAGCCCUCUGCCUGCCGACAAGCCUCUGGACUCAUAUGGUUCCCCCCCUGCUGAUCAGAUCCAUCUCUGAGCAGUGGUGUUCCUCCCGUGAUCAGUACGAAGAACCCAGAACCAGUGCAACAUUUUGUCUGUGAAACCUUGUAAAU
This is a long non-coding RNA of Cyprinodon tularosa, 254 nucleotides long. RefSeq lists it as uncharacterized. The record is from RefSeq and is a predicted model, not a curated record. The transcript has 3 exons. NCBI's taxonomy places the organism in Eukaryota, Metazoa, Chordata, Actinopteri, Cyprinodontiformes, Cyprinodontidae.